CAGUCUCCUACGGGUGGCAGCAGUGAGGAAUCUUUCGCAAUGGGCGAAAGCCUGACGGAGCGACGCCGCGUGGGGGAUGAAGUCCCUCGGGACGUAAACCCCUUUUCUGGGGGAAGAGGAAGGACGGUACCCCAGGAAUAAGCCUCGGCUAACUACGUGCCAGCAGCCGCGGUAAAACGUAGGAGGCAAGCGUUAUCCAGAUUUACUGGGCGUAAAGCGCGCGCAGGCGGUUCCGUAAGUUGGACGUGAAAUCUUCCGGCUCAACCGGGAGGGGUCGUCCAAGACUGCGGGACUUGAGGUCGGGAGAGGGAAGUGGAAUUCCCGGUGUAGUGGUGGAAUGCGUAGAUAUCGGGAGGAACACCAGUGGCGAAGGCGGCUUCCUGGCCCGUACCUGACGCUGAGGCGCGAAAGCGUGGGGAGCGAACGGGAUUAGAUACCCUAGUAGUCC
RNAcentral lists this ribosomal RNA (448 nucleotides) under Escherichia coli. RNAcentral describes it as "bacterial SSU rRNA". It matches the Rfam family "Bacterial small subunit ribosomal RNA", at positions 332 to 796 of the family's 1533-position model. The record is from RNAcentral. Lineage: Bacteria; Pseudomonadati; Pseudomonadota; Gammaproteobacteria; Enterobacterales; Enterobacteriaceae.